GUAGUGUCCUAAGAAAGGAUUGCCGGGAGGUUCUUCGUGUUUCCGGUUUUGGUGGUGUCUUUCGUGUUAGAGGUUUGCUCCGAUGUCUGAUGAUCCUUGACUAUCCAUUCGUAUUUAAGGAUGGGGCCUUAAAACUGUUGGAAGCUCUCUAUACCUUAUCAGGACUUAUCAACUGGUCGGCCUCAUUUUAGGGAGUGCUUAAAAGCGGAGAACCUUUGCCAGCUGUGGUCAGAGGGAGUCGUGACUGUGGAAGAAAGGCACAGAGAGACUCAACGCUGCUGGCUUUGAAGAUGGAGGAAGAGGGCCCUGAGCCAAGGAAUGCAGUGGGCCUGUAGAAGCUGGAAAAGGUAAGAAAACAGAAUCUCCCCGAGAGCUCUGAGAAGGGAGCACAGCCCUGCCAACACGUGGAUUUACCCCAUAAGACCUGUGUCAGACUUCCGGCCUCCAGAAUGGGAAGACAAUAAAUCUGUGUUGUUGCGAGCUGCUCAGCUUGUAGGAAUUCGUCACAGCAGCAAUAGAAAACUAGGAGAGGGUGCUCGGAUGGAGAUUCAGCUGUUUCCUUGAGGACUCCCAAUAUCAUCAUUUAUAGCUCUUCAGAACCUGAAAGGCAGCAUAGCUCCUGGGAUUGUGUGUGUGUUAUACACCGGCUAAGGAGGAAGAUGAUUUGUUUCGGGCUGUGCGGCUUGAAGGAAGAAACGUAAUCCACCCAAGCUCCCAGCAAGCAGCAAGCAGGAGUCCCAAGAGGCAGGACCAGGAUCUCAUAGCAAAGUGGAAUUCAUCUCUAAAAAGAGGUUUAUGGCUGACCAGACUUCAUCAGUUCAGAUAUGUCUGCCCCCAUAGGGAAGGUGUUGCCUGGACCAGGACCCGGAUCCACAACCAUAGGUCUCAAUCUGAACUUAGCCCAUUAAGGAUCUUUCUGACUUUGGAAGUAAAUGCUUUACCCACAUUGAUUUUUGGUGUCUGCUAAUCUGUGAAAUGAAAAGAGCUAUCAUAUCUCUGAGUGUGUUAAUCCAAAUGUCUGAGAGCUCCUCCAAGACAAAGAAGAUGGGAGGCUGGCUUCAACGGCCCUGGAGGAAGAUCUCUUGGUCCCAGAAUCAUAUCUUUGCCCCUCUUCAUGGCUCUUCUAAGGGAAAAGUUAAACUGAUGCAAGUCCAGAUGGCACUGCAGAGGAAAGAGAUAACAUCUGUUGAGCAUCCCCUGUGUACCAGGUGUGACAUGGAGAUUGCCUUGUUGCGACCUCACAGCAGCCUGAUGCAAGUUAGAAUCCCUCUCCAGCUCCCUUUCACAGGAGCAUGCGCACAAAUGUGGAUGCAGUGCACGGCCGGGUGGAGGAAACCAUUCUUGUUAAUAUCUGUGUGCCUCACAUAAUACAUACCUUUCUAAAGAGAUACAGGAGUUAAGCUUCACAUAUACAUUCUAUUGUCUUAGAUCAGAGAGCACAUCAUUCAAGUGUUUUUUUUUUCUUAUUUCAAAAAGUUUAGAAUCCAGCAAAGUUAGAGGUGGAACCCUUCCUCUGGGAAUAUAAAAUGUUAAAUGAAACACUUGGUAGUAGAUGACCAACUGCUUCUCUGAUAUAUACUGGGAUGUAUAAAAUUGGAGAAGACAGAAUGUAUAAAAUUGAACCUGCAGUAUGAAUAUUGCAAAGUGACACAGGACACACACUUUGUGUCCUCACAGUGCUUGACUGCAGCUGCAGACGCAGUGACGGGGUUGCUGGGCGGCAGAUCAAGGAUUACAUUCCGCAGCUCAGGCUUUCUUCACAGGAUUUAUGAGUUAAUGACUGACUAUUAGUUGAGUGCCUAGAGUGCUUCAAGAUCUCCCCAAAUUCUCCCUUUUUAUUCUUCUUGCAAGUUCUAAAACCAGAUGCUUCUUUUAUGGAAAAGUCUAAUUGCUGUGGAAUCUAAUGUAUGUCCUACUUUCAUAUCCAAAUAUCCUCCUUCCUGUUUAAUUUACAACAUUCCCAUGACUCACCUUUCAGUUAUGGUCCACAAGGCACCACACCUUUUUGGGUCCCGCCUGCACAUAUUGCUAAGUGUCUUCAACUUUGGAACGAAGCAUCCAUGAGUCAUGUUAAUAAUAUGAGAUGCUAAAAGAGACUUGUCUUACAAACACAACAAUAAAUGACAAAUUAGAUUUUUUAAAGCCCCAUCUGCUUCUCUCCCAUGCCCCACAGCCUAUACUUAUAAAACUUUCUGUAAUUUCAUGGCAUGAGGCGUGCCUGGAAAACUCAUCAUAAGAUAACAUGUGCCUAGUUAAAUAUUUGUUGGUUCUAACAUCUUAAAUUAUUUUUUAAUUAGUAAAAAGGGACAAACAGAAUUGAAGCCUAGAUACUUAAUGGGUAAUAUAAAAUGAACAAAGCAGUGAUGAAUAAAGCAACGAAAAGUGAAAGCUGUGUGUUCUGUGUUUUUCUGGAUAAUUUCCC
Long non-coding RNA from Equus asinus (donkey), 2422 nucleotides. The record is from Ensembl. NCBI's taxonomy places the organism in Eukaryota, Metazoa, Chordata, Mammalia, Perissodactyla, Equidae.